RNAcentral lists this small nuclear RNA (285 nucleotides) under Erinaceus europaeus (western European hedgehog). Its description in RNAcentral is "7SK RNA". It matches the Rfam family "7SK RNA". From Rfam's summary of the family: 7SK was discovered as an abundant small nuclear RNA in the mid-70s but a possible function has only recently been suggested. Lineage: Eukaryota; Metazoa; Chordata; Mammalia; Eulipotyphla; Erinaceidae. The record is from Rfam by way of RNAcentral.
GGAUGUGAGGGCGAUCUGGCUGUGACAUCAGCCAUUCUAUUGAUCACCAGGGUUGCCUGGGCUGAUCUGGCUGGUUAGGGGUUUCCCCUUCUUCCCUCACCGCUCCAUUUGUGUCCCUCCAGAAGCUAUAAGCUUGGUCAAAGAGGAUGGCCUUUCCCUAAUGGAGACUGACCUGUCUUUGAUCGCAGGUAUAAGAGUAGCUGUGCUCUCCAAACAAGCUCUCAUGGUCUUCAAGAUCUCUGCAGUGAUCAGAGGGGAGAUGCAUAAAGUUAUCAAUCAUCGGCU